AGUCUCCUCUAGAAGAUGCUAGUGAGAGACAAAGUAAUAGAAAGUAAUAACCAUUUUAGGUUCCUCCUAGGAAAUGGCUUAUGUUGGUGCCACGCAAAUAUGUAAAAUAUGUGUUUCUCUGUUUUAGGAAGUUGUACAGUUUCUAGACAAGAAACAUCCAAACCACUAUCGAGUCUACAAUCUAUGCAGUGAAAGAGCUUAUGAUCCUAAGCAUUUCCAUAAUAGGGUCAGUAGAAUCAUGAUUGAUGAUCAUAAUGUCCCCACUCUAUGGUAAGUUUUAUGCUACGUUGACUAUCAGAAGGGGGCUAAAUAUAUUGGGCUUGAUUUUUUGAAAAUAUUUUAAUUCAACUAAAAAUCCUAAACUUGAAAUCAGGGAGAUGGUAGGAUUCUCCAAGGAAGUAGAGGAGUGGCUGGCUCAAGAUCCUGAAAACAUCAUAGUGAUUCACUGUAAAGGAGGCAAAGGAAGAACUGGAACUAUGGUUUGUGCCUGCCUGAUUGCCACUGAAAUAUUUUUAACUGCAGAGGUAUGAAAGAUGUUACCACAGACUUUGUCUUAUGAUGACUGAGUUUGCUAGUUCUGAAACAUCAGUGGUAGGAUGUUAAGAUGAUUAUUUUAGUCAUGGUGCUCAGUGAAAUUGUAAUUGGAGAAGUGGUUGUUAAAAAGUCUGUUUUUGAUACUUCCUUGUUUAACAUGCAUUAGUUAGUAGCUGGCUUAAGAAUCUCUUUGGGCCAGCAGUA
Cercocebus atys (sooty mangabey) is the source of this 738-nucleotide long non-coding RNA. RefSeq lists it as uncharacterized. The record is from RefSeq and is a predicted model, not a curated record. Lineage: Eukaryota; Metazoa; Chordata; Mammalia; Primates; Cercopithecidae. The transcript has 3 exons.